UACGUAGGGGGCGAGCGUUGUCCGGAUUUAUUGGGCGUAAAGAGCUCGUAGGCGGCUUGGCAAGUCGGGUGUGAAACCUCCAGGCUCAACCUGGAGACGCCACUCGAUACUGCUAUGGCUAGGGUCCGGUAGGGGACCACGGAAUUCCUGGUGUAGCGGUGAAAUGCGCAGAUAUCAGGAGGAACACCGGUGGCGAAGGCGGUGGUCUGGGCCGGCACUGACGCUGAGGAGCGAAAGCGUGGGUAGCAAACAGG
RNAcentral lists this ribosomal RNA (254 nucleotides) under uncultured bacterium. RNAcentral's name for it is "partial 16S ribosomal RNA". It matches the Rfam family "Bacterial small subunit ribosomal RNA", at positions 524 to 776 of the family's 1533-position model. The record is from RNAcentral.